UACGCAGGGGGCUAGCGUUGCUCGGAAUCACUGGGCGUAAAGCGCACGUAGGCGGCUUUUUAAGUCAGGGGUGAAAUCCUGGAGCUCAACUCCAGAACUGCCUUUGAUACUGAGAAGCUUGAGUCCGGGAGAGGUGAGUGGAACUGCGAGUGUAGAGGUGAAAUUCGUAGAUAUUCGCAAGAACACCAGUGGCGAAGGCGGCUCACUGGCCCGGUACUGACGCUGAGGUGCGAAAGCGUGGGGAGCAAACAGG
This 253-nucleotide ribosomal RNA is filed under the name uncultured bacterium. Its description in RNAcentral is "partial 16S ribosomal RNA". It matches the Rfam family "Bacterial small subunit ribosomal RNA", at positions 524 to 776 of the family's 1533-position model. The record is from RNAcentral.